AAAAAGGGCUUCUGUUGUGAGUGGGAUACGUAGGGUGGCUCUGUUUGCUCUUCAUGUGGAAUCGACAUCAAGAUAUUUUGGAAGCAUAAUUUUUUGGUACUGGGACAGCUGGUGAUCAUUGGUCCUGGCGCUUGA
Molecule: small nuclear RNA, 135 nt
Organism: Oryctolagus cuniculus (rabbit)
Lineage: Eukaryota; Metazoa; Chordata; Mammalia; Lagomorpha; Leporidae
Source: Ensembl